Molecule: small nuclear RNA, 182 nt
Organism: Dermacentor silvarum
Lineage: Eukaryota; Metazoa; Arthropoda; Arachnida; Ixodida; Ixodidae
Product: U2 spliceosomal RNA
Exons: 1
Source: RefSeq, a predicted model, not a curated record
AUACAUCACACGUGCUCAUGUACAGCACUGUUCUUAUGAGCUUAAUAAUUAAUACAGGUUCAAUUGGGACGCAAGAUAGUAAACUUAUUUUUGGAUGUUUGCGGAGUGCUUGAAGGCGGCUUCUUCAUCUCCGACGCUGGUCGGCUCGCUAUUGUGCUAACUCCAGGAUCGGCCCACGCUCA